RNAcentral lists this long non-coding RNA (2657 nucleotides) under Physcomitrium patens. RNAcentral describes it as "long non-coding RNA (PPAT_LNC012047)". The record is from RNAcentral. Lineage: Eukaryota; Viridiplantae; Streptophyta; Bryopsida; Funariales; Funariaceae.
GCAAAGAUCAACACCCUCAUAAAUCUUUUCAACAAAGUAUGGAUAGAACAUAGUAUAGUAUAAUUGCCGUAUCCGGCAAUCCUCCUCAGUUGAAUCGGCUUCCCCCAUCAAACUUCCUACCACAGCACCUAGCCGAGGAUGUUCCUCAACAACAGUCCAACCUCUAAUAGACAUAUUAGAAGAUUCCACAACUUCUAUUUGAGAGCAGAGACUUGUCAUUGGCUAUAGAUAACCUAUUCGACGAAGUGAACCAAGAUCUGAGCAACCAGGAAUCGAUCCCCAAACUCACCAUACACUCGACCAUGAUGCCAACGAAAUACGACUCCCAUCUACCCUGUUUGAAAUUAGUGAUCAAGAUACAUCACAACAGAUAGACACAACCCUCAAACAAGAAAUAGAAGAAAUUUUGGUGAACAUGGAGCAAGAACGGAGGGCCAUUCCACCAGAUUGACCACGAACAACACGGCUUCAUCAACGUAUCAACACAGAAUGACAACGUCACUUUGACACAAUACCAUACGGACCGGAAGACCUUCACAGAAUAGUUGAAUCAGCAAGAAACAACCCACAAUUUCGGGAAAGUCUAACUGCAUCAGAGAUCUAUGCGUCAACUACACAAUUUCUACAAGGCGAAAAUUUUCACAAUUGGUUAGCGGAUGGAAGACAAUUCUUUAACCUCGAUAACCGACAUCCUUAAUAAGAUCAACAUAAACAAGGCCUUGUGUAGCAAGAAGCUAACUACUCUUUUACAUUGAUGUGCGAUGCAAACACAAUUGUGUCAUUUCCUGGUCUUGCUACUCUCGAGCGGAUGGACGGACCUGCUGCUUCGAACCGGACACAACGAGCGCAUUAGUGGCCAUAAAUAACCUACUUGACGAAGUGAAUCAGAUAGGAGCAACCAGGCCCCAAUCCCCACGAUUCACCAUCUAAUCCACCUCAACGCCAACGAUAUAUGACUCCCAACUACUCUUUUCAUAUCAGCAAUGACGAUACAAUACAACAAGAAACAACCCUCAAACAAGAAGCAGAAGAAGAUUUGGUGAACAUGGAGCGAGAACGGAGGGCCUUUUGCCCAAAUUUACCACGAACAACACGGCCUCAACAACGCAUCAACAUAAAACGACAACGUCUCUUUGACGUAAUUCCAUACGAGCGGAAAGACCUCCACAGAACAGUUGAAUCAGCGAGAAACAACCUACAAUUUUGGAAAAGUCUAACUAUAUUAGAGAUGCGGAGGACAACUCUUUAACCUUGGUAACCGACAUCCUCAAAAAGAUCAACAUCAACAAGGCAAGUUAGUUUUUUCAUUACAUCAAAUAAGUAACGACAACAAAAACAGGAAGUUACAAAAUCCUACCUCUAGCGACAGAUGUCCCCUGUUUAACCCAGCACGGCCAUAGGCCUCAGUUUUCUAAGCUAAAGGUCUAGACACCAGCACUGAAAUGGUGCUAGAAUUGAAACGAUAAGAAUCCACCUACAUCCGGCCAGUAGCCUAGUCACAUGUGUCAGACACAAAUUGUAACACACAGUUGUGUUUUCAGUUUUAAUCUCGAUGGGGAUUUUAAGGUUGGGAUAAGUGGCUUAGAUUUUUCUCUAAUCUAAUUAUUUUAGGAUUAUCAUGAUUAAAGUAGUAUAAUCCUUAAAUAGACUAAAAUCUUUGGAACCUUAAUUUUUAUUGUAAUUUAACUAAGAACUAUAUUUUUCAAUUUAAAAGUCACAAAUUUACAACAAUCAAAUCUUCAUUAGUAGAUGCAAGAGCUUUCAUGCAUACUACAAAAGACUAGUCACCUUUUGUUAUAUAUGCUACACCCAUUUUUGAUGUGGAAAGAUUACAAGUGGCAUUCCAAGCUAAUACCAAAAUUAUCAAGAUACCUUUGACAAGAAGAAUGUGCAUAGUCUUAUAAAGUAUUGUCCAUAUGAUUCUUGGAAUCAUAUUUGAGGUAGUGCUCUUGUCAAAUUAUCAAGUACAUAUAUCACAAACAAAUAAAACAUAUUCUAUAUUCUUAUGUUGCUUAGAAAGAAUAGAUAUUCACUCAAAAUAGUAUACUAUUGAAACUAAAAUGGCUAUUGCCAAAGCCAAGAAGACUGAAGAUUCUUAAAACAAGACUAACAAUAAAGGUGUUGAAAAGAAUGAAGAAGGCUUCAUUCUUGCUUCUGUAUAUACUAUCUAAGUAGAAGCUAUGUAGCAAGGUUCUAUAAGACCUCUAAAACAUGUCCACCUUGUGAGACACAUGCCAUAUUUACAAGCCAAGUCUCUUACAUGUAUGCCAUAUAUUUAACUUGAACCACAAGCUACCAACAUGUGCAAUACAUGGGUAACUUAUUGGCUAGGUAUUUAACCUACCAACCAACACAUACCACGUUUAAUUAUAUUUAAAAGCUUGUAUUUAAUUAAUACUUCAAAAUCUAUCAUGAUAAAAAUUCCAUGAAUUAGGUUUAGUUUCAAAGCACACUAAAAAAUAAAGACCAAAUAUUGAUUGCAAAAUGUGUAUUCCUUGUCCUUUUUAUACAAGGUUUAUUGUGAUCUUUCAAUCUUUGAAUUCAAGUUUGUUUCAAAUCCUUACAUUUACAACAAUAGAUUUAUAAUAUAGUAAAUGUCUAUUGCAUUGAUUUCAACAACCAUUGAUUUUCCAAUGAAUGCCAUCUUGCCUUAUAAA